Molecule: unclassified non-coding RNA, 338 nt
Filed under: Hevea brasiliensis (rubber tree)
Lineage: Eukaryota; Viridiplantae; Streptophyta; Magnoliopsida; Malpighiales; Euphorbiaceae
Source: RNAcentral
AUCCAACUUGCGAAAUACCUACCCAUUAAAACGUCACAAUGAAGCUCGAAUUCUGUUAAGCAACCAAGUGGAUUGGAUAUCAAUACCACAUAAGACAACCAACCUCCAUGGACCAAUUGUUGAUAAAGUGUGCUUGGGGGUCGUUCGAAAAUGCCUUGCUCUUUUCCAAAAUGGCAUAUUUGACCCCUAAUUUGGUGAGAAAUAUAGAGAGAACGGGACCGACAGGUCCUGCACCAACGAUCAAAACAGGAAGUACUGAAUCAUUAGCAUCGAAGUUUUGGGAAUGCAAUAAUGCUCUGCUUUGAAUGUGAUACCCAAAUGGGUAUGGUUUGAUUCUG